UUCCCCUUUCCCCACGUACCCACCAUCUAAAUCUGAAUCUUCCCAGCAACUUGUAAGAAAAAGGUGGGAUUCCGAAAGUGGCUGACUAAGAGGUUACACAUAAUACUUAGGACACAUCUUGAGGGAAUAACCUUUACAGAUCACUGCAGAAUUUAUAUUUAGUGAGUUAUAGUGUCAUUGCCCUUAUGCAUGUCAUAUUUUAAGCAAAUCUAACAUCUUAUUUUAUCUUCUUUCAGUGAAUUCUCUUAUCUCUGUUACAGCAGGAACAAAUCUAAGAGCAAUACAUUCUAUCUGUGACUGGAAUAGAUGGACAAAGGCAUCUCUGAACACUGUCUGGGUGCACCUGCUGUUUUCCCAUACUGGAAUAUGGGAAUCAAGACAGGAGAUGUCACCUAUGCAGCAGAUGAACCCAGCUGCACGGGCUAACAUGCAGUGGGAUAAAAAGGAAGAGAUCAUCUGCUCUGGGCAUGUACCCCCUCAUUCCUCCUGAAUAAUUCUAUCCAAAUUGACUCCUGGAGAAUUUAUAAUUUACUAAUGUUGUGCUUAAUUCCGUGUACAAAAGGAAGAACGUGUUUUAACCUUUUUGCUUGGUUAGUUUUUCAUUUUUUCAAGUGUUAUUAAUUGCUGUUUGUUUUUUAUUAUGGUGACUCCAAAGUUUCUUAACUGUUUAUUUUGAACUAAAUCUGCUAAUUUAUUUUAUGUAGUGGAAGCAAAUUUUGCCAACCAUUUUUUAAAUAACCCAGACACCAGAGAAUGAAUAUUUUUUUAUGGUCAAAUUGAUCACCUUGGCAGCCAGCCCAUUCAAAUAUGUUUCUCAAAGUAUGUAAUAUGACUUUGUUUUUACACAGGGUUCAGUGUCCACCAUACACAGUAUAGCAGUGCAGAACUACUUCCAUCUACAGAUCUAAAUGACUCAUACUGGGUUUUCAUUUAUGUCCCUUCUCAAUUCUAUGACCUGUAACAAGACAGGUCUGAUUUCACUUAAACUGCAUGUUACUAAAAAAAGACAUGUACGAUGUUUCUGGGCAACAUGACUGAGAUGGCUUAGACAGCAUCAAGGCUGAGAUUAAGGUUGAUCAGAGGAGGGAAUUUCUGAAAGUGAUGCACUUACAGAGGACAGCAAAGCAGCCUGAGUCCCAGGUAAGUGCUGUGCUGGCAGGCAGACCUCAAAAUCUCCAUUGACUCAUACUGGUCUUAGGAGGUGCAGGUUUUGGUAACCAAGGGGUGGUGAUGGGAAAUAAGGAUGACUGUCAUCUCUGGUGGCAGUAAGCCCCACAUUUGUUGUUGUCCUGACAGAUGUCUAUCCGUUCUAUUCUGUCUAUCUGUUCUUCUGUUUUCUACACCCAGACUUAGCCUGUGGCUCUUGAAGUGGCAGUGUACUAAUUUCUUGAGAUGCUGAUAAGCCUGGAGCUGGCCCUGAGCCUCCCUGGGAAGAACUUAUAUGCCAUCUGUAAAUCAGUUGGCGUUACUAGUCACAGACAGGGGACGUGGUAGAUUACUUCAGCCUUGUUCACUGCUUUGUGGGAGCGAGGCUUUCAUCGAUAUAUUUUCUCUGCUUCUGGACAGCCUUCAUUCCCAUCACUUAUAGGGAACAUAGGAAUGCAUGGAAUCACUCGUGUAUGUUACUACCUAUAGUCUAUUUAUCUUGGAGGUAUUUGGAGCUGUUAUAAAUUGCUAUAAACCUGGCGGUCUGAAGCCAUGAAAAAGAAUGAGCUUACUUUUAAUAACUGACAUUGAAACAGGAGAAAAGCAGUUCAGAAUGCCUGGAGAGGUGUGGAGGCUCCUGCCAAACUGGUGAAUGCUCUGUCUGCAGCUACUUUUGAAAAAAGUGAAUUAACUGGAUAGGCCAGGCCUCUGUUGCAUGUCAGUUAUAUAACAGUUUAUAAAUUUUCUGUUUAAAAAUAAGCUGUGAAGUUUUACUGUUGAAGUGAAUAUAAUGUUGGCAUUCAUAUUUGAAAGCAAACAGGCAAGCGUGCCCAGGGUGGGGGAGUCCCCCUGCCCACUGCAGAUGGCUUCUGGGAAGAGCCAGAAGAAGAUGAAAAGAAGACAAAAAUGAGGAAGAAAAUUACAUUUGAGUAUUGAAGCAUUUCUCUUGUAGGCAGAGGGCUUACUAAGGGCCUUUAAUUCUACUCUGAACAACAUCUGAAACUUUGGAGGGAUAGGUAGGACAUGUGUCCAGCAGUUUAGGAUCUGACCAAUGACUUACAGACGAAAGCAUCAAUAGUCUGAAGCAGAGCAACUGCAGGGCAGUCACUGUAUCAGUGUGUGCCACUGAAUUUGGAUCAAUUCAGCUGAAAUCACCCACGAGCCUAGUAAAAUUAUCUGUACCACAGAGAAUCCUGCCAACCUGCACAAUGAACUAAGUGUGAGUGCAAUGACAACAGGAAGAUAGUAGUUAGCCACCUCAGCUGUGAGGAGAGGACUGGGAAACUGGGGCAGAGAAUUGUAAUCUUGCAUGCUGUCAUUUAGUUCUUCUUUCCCUGAGCUAUUGUAUUAUUGUGUUUUCCUUUUGUUCCCAAUAAACUGUGUUGA
Columba livia (rock pigeon) is the source of this 2532-nucleotide long non-coding RNA. RefSeq lists it as uncharacterized. Lineage: Eukaryota; Metazoa; Chordata; Aves; Columbiformes; Columbidae. The record is from RefSeq and is a predicted model, not a curated record. The transcript has 2 exons.